Molecule: ribosomal RNA, 213 nt
Filed under: uncultured bacterium
Lineage: Bacteria
Description: partial 16S ribosomal RNA
Rfam family: Bacterial small subunit ribosomal RNA
Source: RNAcentral
CAGAUGUGAAAGACCCGGGGCGUCAACCCCGGAACUAGCAUUUGAAACUAGGCAGACUAGAGUACUGUAGAGGGGGGUAGGAAGUUUCAGGUGUAGCGGUGAAAUAGCGUAGAGAUCUGAAGGAAUACCGGUGGCGAAGGCGGCCCCCUCGGACAGAUACUGACACUCAGAUGCGAAAGCGUGGGGAGCAAACAGGAUUAGAUACCCUGGUAG